GCAAGUCGAGGGGUAACAUGAGUAGCUUGCUACUUGAUGACGACCGGCGCACGGGUGAGUAACGCGUAUGGAACCUACCUGCAACAGGAGGACAGCCCCCGGAAACGGGGAUUAAUACUCCAUGUUUCUUUAAGACCGCCUGGUCUAAAAGAAAAAGCUACGGCGGUUGCAGCUGGCCAUGCGUGACAUUAGUUAGUUGGCGGGGUAACGGCCCACCAAGGCGACGAUGUCUAGGGGUUCUGAGAGGAAGGUCCCCCACACUGGUACUGAGACACGGACCAGACUCCUACGGGAGGCAGCAGUGAGGAAUAUUGGUCAAUGGGCGAGAGCCUGAACCAGCCAUGUCGCGUGCAGGAUGACGGCCCUACGGGUUGUAAACUGCUUUUGUACGGGAAGAAUGUCUUCGACGAGUCGAAGUUUGCCGGUACCGUACGAAUAAGCAUCGGCUAACUCCGUGCCAGCAGCCGCGGUAAUACGGAGGAUGCGAGCGUUAUCCGGAUUCAUUGGGUUUAAAGGGUGCGUAGGCGGAGCUUCAAGUCAGCGGUGAAAGUCUGCAGCUCAACUGUAGUUGUGCCGU
This 577-nucleotide ribosomal RNA is filed under the name uncultured bacterium. Its description in RNAcentral is "bacterial SSU rRNA". It matches the Rfam family "Bacterial small subunit ribosomal RNA", at positions 57 to 627 of the family's 1533-position model. The record is from RNAcentral.